GACACACAUUCUUAGUAUUACCAUAGACUAUAUAUUACAUGGACUGCCAACUCUACGCACUAAGCCUAUAUUUUUCAAUAAACAAGUCCCGUUCACGGAGGCGUCCUUGGUUGCGUGGUAAAUUGACUUCCGGUAGAUUUUUUUUUACGUAUAAAGAAACCAUUCUCGAAGAUUUUUACCACCACUUUUACAGCAAAUCAUGAAUGGAAACUGAAUUGUUAAAGAAGAUGUUACAGAGGAGCAUACUACUUCCAAAAAACUGAUUUGAUUGUCACUAACUUUCAAAUUGAAAGGGAUCUACUACAACUGCUCAUGAAUUUCGAGAUUUUACAGCUAAUAGAGGAACAAAUUUUAUCUGCUUCCACUUAGCCAAACAGCAUGGAAAUAUGCUAUUGUAAUGAGUAGAAGAUAUUUGUCAUUUAGAGUAUCAUGCAACAACUAAUUAUCAGUCCACACAUUUCAAGAUGAGGAAAAGAACAGUAUAAGCUACAUUCAUUGAUGCAUUAUUUAUACAAAAAUGUAUAGUCAACCCAGUCAUCACUCCAUUUUUUUAUGAAGCCAGUUACAGUUACCAAGAAGGGAUGAAAUUUCAGAUAAUAUUUUGUUUAUUUCAUGAAAUGAGAAUAGGCCUACAUCAGAAAUUGAGAUGGUCAUCUUCAGUAUUUAAUGUUUCAUCUAAAAAUGAUAAUUAUAUUAAUACAUAUUUGAUGUACAAACAAAUGAAAACCAUUCAAACACUUUUUUUUUGUGAAGUAUAGAUGAUUAAACUUGUAAGUGUCUGAACAAUA
Long non-coding RNA from Biomphalaria glabrata, 788 nucleotides. RefSeq lists it as uncharacterized. The transcript is spliced from 3 exons. Lineage: Eukaryota; Metazoa; Mollusca; Gastropoda; Planorbidae. The record is from RefSeq and is a predicted model, not a curated record.